RNAcentral lists this transfer RNA (76 nucleotides) under Polyangiaceae bacterium. Its description in RNAcentral is "tRNA-Arg". It matches the Rfam family "tRNA". Rfam says of the family: Transfer RNA (tRNA) molecules are approximately 80 nucleotides in length. Their secondary structure includes four short double-helical elements and three loops (D, anti-codon, and T loops). The record is from RNAcentral. Lineage: Bacteria; Pseudomonadati; Myxococcota; Polyangiales; Polyangiaceae.
GGCCCCGUAGCUCAGUGGAUAGAGCAGCGGUUUCCUAAACCGUUGGUCGGCAGUUCAACUCUGCCCGGGGUCGCCA